CAGGGAAUAGUUUAAAUNAGUAAUAUCAGCUUUGGGAGUUGAAGGUGGAAUUUGUKGUUGUUUCUUCCCUGA
RNAcentral lists this transfer RNA (72 nucleotides) under Sundasciurus lowii (Low's squirrel). Its description in RNAcentral is "tRNA-Pro". The record is from RNAcentral. Lineage: Eukaryota; Metazoa; Chordata; Mammalia; Rodentia; Sciuridae.